This 66-nucleotide small RNA is filed under the name Variibacter gotjawalensis. RNAcentral's name for it is "Makes More Granules Regulator RNA (mmgR)". It matches the Rfam family "Makes More Granules Regulator RNA (mmgR)". From Rfam's summary of the family: SuhB later renamed mmgR (makes more granules regulator) was a putative non-coding RNA found multiple times in the Agrobacterium tumefaciens genome and related alpha-proteobacteria. Other non-coding RNAs uncovered in the same analysis include: speF, ybhL, metA, and serC. The record is from Rfam by way of RNAcentral. Lineage: Bacteria; Pseudomonadati; Pseudomonadota; Alphaproteobacteria; Hyphomicrobiales; Nitrobacteraceae.
UCUCGUUACUUCGUUUCCUCCCAAGACUUGGGCCUCACUUCGGUGAGGCCCUUUUUUUGUUUGUCG